This is a long non-coding RNA of Panthera uncia (snow leopard), 1329 nucleotides long. RefSeq lists it as uncharacterized. NCBI's taxonomy places the organism in Eukaryota, Metazoa, Chordata, Mammalia, Carnivora, Felidae. The transcript has 3 exons. The record is from RefSeq and is a predicted model, not a curated record.
GAGGGCGGAGGGCGCUGGGGCGGGGCGUGGGCCCGAGAACUUGAGGAGCCGGGUUAAGAAAUGGGGAGGUGUGAGGGGCUGCGCUGCGCGGGGUGGCGGACGGUGGCCGGAGGCCGCGGGGGACGGGACAGGCGCUGGUCUGCGAGGCUGCACCCUCGCAGCUCUCUGCCCUGUGCCUGAGCUCUGGGCCUUUCCCGUUGUGAAAUACAGUCCUGGGGCUCCUGGGGAGCCUUAGCUCUGAGCAAGCCCUGGGGGCAGGGCAUAGAGUGCUUCGAGCCGUGGAGAGAUGCGAAGGGAACUCCAGCAGGGGAAGUGGGGAGUGCUUUCCCCCACAAAGGUGGGAAAGCAGGUGUGGGGCGCGAAGAAUCUUUUAAACUAAUAUUCUUUAAAUGUCUAUUUGGAGGAGAGGCCAAGUCUGUGGAGAAGGCUGAAAGGGGACCAACCAGCCCAAACUUGCUAGAAGAAACAGUUCAGCCCAGGAAGCAUUGCUAAUGAAGGCCCUAACAAGUCGCGGGAGAGGCUACCAGCCCCAGCCUUUGGACAGCAUGACACGGAGGGCUGCAACAAGAUAUUUACCUGCACCCUCAAGGAUUAUUCUGGGCCUGGAAACAGAGACCCAGAUGGAAGAGACUCACCAGCAAGACAGUGGGAUCUGGGCCUGGGGUGGGGAAAGCUCCAGGACAGUGGAGUCCUAGAGGCCCAGCUCACAGCCAUGGAAUGAGAGAUAGGGAGGAAGAAUGAGUGGAGAGGGAUCAAGGGGAGGAGCAAGAGGAUGGAGUGAACAAGGUCAGUCACAUGGCUUGAGCGUGGAUGUGUUAAGUGGGGGGAGAUCAGGUGGACCUUGGGUGGGGACAGGGCCUUGCAGAGAUCACUAUCAUAGGACUCACCCCUACUUAGAGUUUUCCAUGUGCCACUCACAUGGAAACAUUUUACAUUUUACUUUCAUUUCCUCCCUUAGUCCUGACCUUAGCCACUGCAGUGGGUUGAUGUUACUGUUAGGCUCAUUUACUGAUAAGAAAAUGGAGGCAGAGGGAGUUUCUGGUAUUUCUCCAAAGUAAUAUGCAGCUAGUAAGUUUGUAGACUGCUCCUCAGAGUUCUUGCUGUCAGUUGCCCCUCUACCACGUCUACUUCCUACACAAUCCAAACCAGAAUGUCUGGGUUUUAUCCUCAGGGCACUGUGGAGCCACAGAAGGUUUAUGAGCAAGAGAGUGAUGUGAUUUCUUUCAGCAGGAUCCCUUGGCUGCCAUGUAGAGGAUGGAUUGUAGAGGAAAGAUGAGAGCCAGGGAGGAGGCUGGAGGCCCAUGAGAAGAGACAGAGAACAGAGACACA